This 520-nucleotide ribosomal RNA is filed under the name uncultured bacterium. Its description in RNAcentral is "bacterial SSU rRNA". It matches the Rfam family "Bacterial small subunit ribosomal RNA", at positions 9 to 518 of the family's 1533-position model. The record is from RNAcentral.
GAGUUUGAUUCUGGCUCAGGAUGAACGCUGGCGGCAGGCUAAUACAUGCAAGUCGAACGGUAAGGCCGAGUGUAGCAAUACACGAGGUACACGAGUGGCGCACGGGUGCGUAACGCGUAUGCAACCUGCCCCCGACCGGGACAAAACAGCUGGAAACGGCUGCUAAUAUCCCAUGGUCAUGCGGAAGGGCAUCCUUCUUCAUGUAAAGAUUCAUUGGUCGGGGAUGGGCAUGCGUAUUAUUAGGUAGUUGGCGGGGUAACGGCCCACCAAGCCGACGAUGAUUAGGGGUCCUGAGAGGGUUAACCCCCACACUGGAACUGAGACACGGUCCAGACUCCUACGGGAGGCAGCAGUAGGGAAUAUUGGGCAAUGGGAGCAAUCCUGACCCAGCCAUGCCGCCGUGAAGGAAGACGGCCCUAUGGGUUGUAAACUUCUUUUGCCGCAGAGUAAACCCGGUCACGAGUGGUCGGUUGAGAGUAUGCGGCGAAUAAGUAUCGGCUAACUCCGUGCCAGCCGCCGC